Molecule: long non-coding RNA, 566 nt
Filed under: Linum usitatissimum (flax)
Lineage: Eukaryota; Viridiplantae; Streptophyta; Magnoliopsida; Malpighiales; Linaceae
Description: long non-coding RNA (LUSI_LNC005583)
Source: RNAcentral
CCCACUUAUUCCUCACUUGGUUUAUCUUUUUUAUUUUGAUGGUCAAUUUCAAGCAACAUCAGCGGCCGGUUCUGCUUCCACCAUCUCCAGGUUUAUAUUUUUUCCCUCUGCUCCUCUCUGGUUGUUUACAGCUCUUGAUAAAGUUGGUCGAAUUUUGAACUCAAUUUCCGGCUCCCUAAUUUGCUUUAUGGGAAAUGAGCAAAAACGGUUUGAUAAAAUGUGUCAAUUAGAAAUAGGAGAACUUGAUUGGUUGGAUUUCACGAUGAGUCGGCGUCGAUAGCGAAACCCAGUAUGAAGUGGAAAUUGAUCCCUUGUUUGAUUGGGACUGAAUCGAAUGUGACGGGUGCACCAAUAGCUCUGAUCGACUCCAUCAUUACCUUGUUGUUUGUCUGUUCAUGCCGUAGAAGCCUUAACGGCGGAAGAGUUCUGCGAGUUCUAAAGAGAAGAUGAAGAAGAUAAGGUAAGAUAAAUUUUUUUUAAAAAAAAGAAUAAGUAAAUUUUGAAAAGAAUUUUACUAACCAUAAAAUUUUGGUGAUUUAUUUGCAUGUGUUUACAUUUUGAAGGGC